AACGAACGCUGGCGGCAGGCUUAACACAUGCAAGUCGAGCGAGACCUUCGGGUCUAGCGGCGGACGGGUGUGUAACGCGUGGGAACGUUCCCUUCUCUACGGAAUAGCCCCGGGAAACUGGGAGUAAUACCGUAUACGCCCUUUGGGGGAAAGAUUUAUCGGAGAAGGAUCGGCCCGCGUUGGAUUAGGUAGUUGGUGGGGUAAUGGCCCACCAAGCCGACGAUCCAUAGCUGGUUUGAGAGGAUGAUCAGCCACACUGGGACUGAGACACGGCCCAGAAUCCUACGGGAGGCAGCAGUGGGGAAUCUUAGACAAUGGGGGCAACGCUGAUCUAGCCAUGCCGCGUGAGUGAUGAAGGCCUUAGGGUUGUAAAGCUCUUUCAGCUGGGAAGAUAAUGACGGUACCAGCAGAAGAAGCCCCGGCUAACUCCGUG
This 433-nucleotide ribosomal RNA is filed under the name uncultured bacterium. RNAcentral's name for it is "partial 16S ribosomal RNA". It matches the Rfam family "Bacterial small subunit ribosomal RNA", at positions 29 to 507 of the family's 1533-position model. The record is from RNAcentral.